GACGAACGCUGGCGGCGUGCUUAACACAUGCAAGUCGAACGGAAAGGCCCUGCUUUUGUGGGGUGCUCGAGUGGCGAACGGGUGAGUAACACGUGAGUAACCUGCCCUUGACUUUGGGAUAACUUCAGGAAACUGGGGCUAAUACCGGAUAGGAGCUCCUGCUGCAUGGUGGGGGUUGGAAAGUUUCGGCGGUUGGGGAUGGACUCGCGGCUUAUCAGCUUGUUGGUGGGGUAGUGGCUUACCAAGGCUUUGACGGGUAGCCGGCCUGAGAGGGUGACCGGCCACACUAGGACUGCGAUACGGCCCAGACUCCUACGGGAGGCAGCAGUGGGGAGUAUUGCACAGUGGGCGGAAGCCUGAUGCAGCAACGCCGCGUGCGGGAUGACGGCCUUCGGGUUGUAAACCGCUUUCGCCUGUGACGAAGCGUGAGUGACGGUAAUGGGUAAAGAAGCACCGGCUAACUACGUG
This 468-nucleotide ribosomal RNA is filed under the name uncultured bacterium. RNAcentral describes it as "partial 16S ribosomal RNA". It matches the Rfam family "Bacterial small subunit ribosomal RNA", at positions 28 to 507 of the family's 1533-position model. The record is from RNAcentral.